This 253-nucleotide ribosomal RNA is filed under the name uncultured bacterium. RNAcentral's name for it is "partial 16S ribosomal RNA". It matches the Rfam family "Bacterial small subunit ribosomal RNA", at positions 524 to 776 of the family's 1533-position model. The record is from RNAcentral.
UACAGAGGUCCCAAGCGUUGUUCGGAUUCACUGGGCGUAAAGGGUGCGUAGGCGGUCGGGUAAGUCUGACGUGAAAUCUCCAAGCUCAACUUGGAAAUGGCGUCGGAUACUAUUCGGCUCGAGGAAUGGAGGGGAGACUGGAAUUCUCGGUGUAGCAGUGAAAUGCGUAGAUAUCGGGAAGAACACCAGUGGCGAAGGCGACUUCCUGGCCUGUUCUUGACGCUGAGGCGCGAAAGCUAGGGGAGCAAACGGG